GCAUAAUCAUUAGUCUUUUAAUUGAAGGCUGGUAUGAAUGGUUGGAUGAGGUACAAGCUGUGUCAUAAAAAUUAAUAUUUGAAUUUAACUUUUUAGUCAAAAGGCUAAAAUGUAAUUAAAAGACGAGAAGACCCUAUAGAGCUUUAUAUAGUUGAUAUUUAAUUUAUUAAGAUUUAUUAAAUUUAAUUAUUUUACUGUAUUUUGUUGGGGUGACAAUAAAAUUUAUAAAACUUUUAUUAUUAUUUAACAUUUAUUUAUGGUUAUAUGAUCCAGUUUUAUUGAUUAUAAAUUUAAGUUACCUUAGGGAUAACAGCGUAAUUUUUUUUGAGAGUUCAUAUCGA
RNAcentral lists this ribosomal RNA (341 nucleotides) under Simulium vittatum. RNAcentral's name for it is "partial 16S ribosomal RNA". The record is from RNAcentral. Lineage: Eukaryota; Metazoa; Arthropoda; Insecta; Diptera; Simuliidae.